UACCAACUGGAUGAGCAGCGAACGGGUGAGUAACGCGUGGGGAAUCUGCCUUUGAGCGGGGGACAACAUUUGGAAACGAAUGCUAAUACCGCAUAAAAACUUUAAACACAAGUUUUAAGUUUGAAAGAUGCAAUUGCAUCACUCAAAGAUGAUCCCGCGUUGUAUUAGCUAGUUGGUGAGGUAAAGGCUCACCAAGGCGAUGAUACAUAGCCGACCUGAGAGGGUGAUCGGCCACAUUGGGACUGAGACACGGCCCAAACUCCUACGGGAGGCAGCAGUAGGGAAUCUUCGGCAAUGGACGAAAGUCUGACCGAGCAACGCCGCGUGAGUGAAGAAGGUUUUCGGAUCGUAAAACUCUGUUGGUAGAGAAGAACGUUGGUGAGAGUGGAAAGCUCAUCAAGUGACGGUAACUACCCAGAAAGGGACGGCUAACUACGUGCCAGCAGCCGCGGUAAUACGUAGGUCCCGAGCGUUGUCCGGAUUUAUUGGGCGUAAAGCGAGCGCAGGUGGUUUAUUAAGUCUGGUGUAAAAGGCAGUGGCUCAACCAUUGUAUGCAUUGGAAACUGGUAGACUUGAGUGCAGGAGAGGAGAGUGGAAUUCCAUGUGUAGCGGU
This 613-nucleotide ribosomal RNA is filed under the name Lactococcus sp. RNAcentral describes it as "bacterial SSU rRNA". It matches the Rfam family "Bacterial small subunit ribosomal RNA", at positions 81 to 682 of the family's 1533-position model. The record is from RNAcentral. Lineage: Bacteria; Bacillati; Bacillota; Bacilli; Lactobacillales; Streptococcaceae.